ACGGGCCAUCAGGGGGCGGAGCUACACGGGACAAGAGCCAGACUGCUGCAGAUCCAUCCUUCCUGCCACUGCCAGCCAGAUCAAUCUUCCUUAGAAAAUGGAAAUGAAAGAGUAAACCAGCUUGGCAACUGGAAGCAUCUCUAAGGCCUCUGUAAAGCUUCCUAAGAAAUCCGUAACAUGAGAAAUCGAUGGAUUGUGGGCUACUUGCUGCUUCUUCUUACACUUAAGAUAUGAAAACACCGGACAUCUGGUUAGCUGGAUUCUGGAAGUCAAGUACCUGACGUAUCACCAGUAUUAAUUCUUAAACUCUGUGGCUUCUAGGGAAAUCACUAUCCCAGUUACCAUUGCAGCUUGAUCAUGUGGUGGGGGUGUGCACUUUGGUUCUUUCUGAUGAUGUCAGCAGUUGCGGCCGCCGGUCGGGUGUGUGGUCUCGUUCCCGGAAGCCGAUGCUCUUCACGGGGGUGAUACAGUGUUAUAAAGUAUGUCUGCUUUCUCAUUCUUUAAUAAACCUGACGACAGUGAGGAGGCACUGAAA
This is a long non-coding RNA of Pseudophryne corroboree (corroboree frog), 535 nucleotides long. RefSeq lists it as uncharacterized. Lineage: Eukaryota; Metazoa; Chordata; Amphibia; Anura; Myobatrachidae. The transcript is spliced from 3 exons. The record is from RefSeq and is a predicted model, not a curated record.